CCUCCAAAGGGAAGCGCUUUCUGUUUGUUUUCUCUUAAACAAAGUGCCUCCCUUUAGAGUGU
Molecule: microRNA precursor, 62 nt
Filed under: Homo sapiens (human)
Lineage: Eukaryota; Metazoa; Chordata; Mammalia; Primates; Hominidae
Description: Hsa-Mir-430-P30_pre stem-loop
Source: RNAcentral